RNAcentral lists this ribosomal RNA (253 nucleotides) under uncultured bacterium. Its description in RNAcentral is "partial 16S ribosomal RNA". It matches the Rfam family "Bacterial small subunit ribosomal RNA", at positions 524 to 776 of the family's 1533-position model. The record is from RNAcentral.
UACGGAGGGAGCUAGCGGUGUUCGGAAUUACUGGGCGUAAAGCGCACGUAGGCGGCUUUGUAAGUUAUAGGUGAAAGCCUAGAGCUCAACUCCAGAACUGCCUUUAAGACUGCAUCGCUUGAAUCCAGGAGAGGUGAGUGGAAUUCCGAGUGUAGAGGUGAAAUUCGUAGAUAUUCGGAAGAACACCAGUGGCGAAGGCAGCUCACUGGACAGGUAUUGACGCUGAGGUGCGAAAGCAUGGGGAGCAAACAGG